AAAGAAAACACCUAUAUCGAAUUGAUGUCUUCAGUUCCUUCUUACUAGGGAAACCGUCGUGGUAUCACUUAACCAGAGAAAUGAAGGUAUCUGUUGAUUCUGUCUUCAAUUUGGCAUUAGAUGAAAGUCAGCAAUGCAGGAGCUGCUCACAAUCAAGCUUUCAAUUCCAGCUUAACUUCUAAUCUUUAAAUGCAAGACUGUGCAAAUCUCAUUUUGGCCUCAGACACCAAGAAGCUGCCUCUUUAAAGAAGCCUAAAAAUGUCAACUAAUCAAUGUACAAUAUGCAGUUUGAAAAUGAACUAUUAAUACAAAGACAGAGCAAAUGAAAUCUAAAAGGCUGGGGGUAAGACAGAAUACCA
RNAcentral lists this long non-coding RNA (359 nucleotides) under Homo sapiens (human). RNAcentral describes it as "HSALNT0159649". Lineage: Eukaryota; Metazoa; Chordata; Mammalia; Primates; Hominidae. The record is from RNAcentral.